UUCUGCAAUUUUGUCCAGUACCUUGUCAAUGAGCUUGAAUAUACCAUUUUUUAUUGUUGUCGAACAAUUUACUAUUUCUAAUCCUGACAUUUUAGCAUGAAUAUUGGCCGAACAUGAAUCUUUCUUAACUUGGUUUUGGUUGAUGUUUCUGGGACCCCUAUCAAAUGUUUUUCUAAUUUUUAUUGUUUUACUAUUCGCUACGCGUGCGUGACUAGUGGCGGAAGCUCAGGGUAUGCCAUAUAUGCAAAGAAGAAUAAAAUUCAUGGCACUUAUUUCAUUCACAUUGUCGCAUCUUCUUCUGUGUUUUCCUCAGUAUAUUUCCUUCAGAGCAAAUCUUCUUUUGCUUGACAUAUUCUUUAUGCUGCAUGUUCUAUUUUCUUUCUCUUAUUUGUUUGUGUAUACAGAUAGUCUCACCGCUCAUGAUUGCCUUCACAAACCUGCAACUUUUUCUGUAUAGAAGUAACUUUUGAAUUAUAUAUUGGUAGUAAAAGGGAGUAACUGAUAAAUUCUUAUGGAAGUGAUAUCACAAGCUUACUUAGAGCAACUCCAACACAUUCCUCAUACCCACUUUUCACUAAUUUUUUGAGGAACUUCAAAUUUAAACCACCUCCAACAGGAGCUUCAAAAGUGCCUGAAACUUUAGGAGCUUCAAAUAUUUCCUCAAACAUGUGGAGUGUUACCUCCCUCCUCAUUCCAAUUUUAUAAUGAUGGCUUUCAGAGGAAGAGGACGUGGUGGUAGAUUUGGUGGUGGCGGUGGUCCCUGUCAUGCAGAGAAAAUAAAAUUUGAACAUUUUCCAGAAAUCGAUAAUUUGCCUGAUGUCCAAAAUGUGAAAGAAGAACGAGUUCUCUUUUUCUGGAGUCACCGGUUGCAACUAUCAUGGAAAUUGUCUCCAUAUUAUUACAAGGGUGUGGGAAAUGAUGCUGAAGGCUGUGAAAGCAUAGAUAUUGAAAGGUAUUCUGCUAAAGAUUCAAGAAAAACCAGGCGUAAGCCCACACUUUCAGACUGCAUAAAGAUGACUGAUGAAUAUGUUCCUGCAGAACUAGCUGUAAAGCACCAACGUGGUCGAAAGAGAGUGCGAUGGAAUCAAGAGUCAGAUAUGCAAAAGUUUGAUAUCUUUGAGAAUCUUGAAAAGAAGUCCAAGACGGAAGAGGAUAAGAAAGAAGGUGAUGCUGCAGAAGAGGAGGAGGAGGAGGAUCUUGAAGUGGAAGAUGAAGAAUUCAGCGAUGGUGAAUAUACUCAGUAAUUGGUGUUGCAGUAAAAAUUGGCAACAUGUACUUGAAGCUACCAAUACACCAAGGUGAAAAUUUGUUGGCUGCAAAGCUGGACACCAUAUCAGCAUGACUAUAUUGAAUAUAGAUUUUGAUGAUGAUGAAGACGACUUUAACAUGGCUGAUGAUCACAAUGAUGAGCCAUUUUUUUGAAGAUUGCUCAUGCGGAUAUACAUCUCAGCUUUGCGCAUGAUUUCCUUUAUUACCUCGAUAACUAGUUGUGGUAAAGAAUGUCACUAUGGAGGCAAAGGGGUGCCUCAGUGAGUGACUUGUGAAAUAUCAGCACAGGUGUACUAAGAUUUGCCUUUUACCCUAUGAACCAUAUGGUAAAAUUAUCCUAUUAUAUGGUCAACUGUGACACGAGUGGUCUUCCUUCCUUUUAAUAUACUAUCGAAUGUCGUGUAGUUGAGGAUGUAGACUUGAGGUUUCAGUUAUUUGUUCUAGUUUUCAAGUAAUUUUCUGGGGUAAUUUUUUUGGUUUUUUUAAUUUUUUUUAUCAUGGCUUGGUUUGUUUCAUUCUAUUAUGGUUUGUCAUUCUAUUCAUUAUUUUGAAGUUUGAAUGGUACGUGACAGUGAGCCAAAGUUUUAUUGGCUUGAGGAGGAUCAAACUAUAGUUCGGUCCUUUCACGUCUUUCAUUUAUAUCAGAGCUUAUUGCAUUUUGUAACCCA
Daucus carota subsp. sativus is the source of this 1937-nucleotide RNA transcript. RefSeq lists it as uncharacterized. The record is from RefSeq and is a predicted model, not a curated record. Lineage: Eukaryota; Viridiplantae; Streptophyta; Magnoliopsida; Apiales; Apiaceae. The transcript has 10 exons.